ACGGGUGAGUAAUACAUCGGAACGUGCCCUGUAGUGGGGGAUAACUAGUCGAAAGAUUAGCUAAUACCGCAUACGACCUGAGGGUGAAAGUGGGGGACCGCAAGGCCUCAUGCUAUAGGAGCGGCCGAUGUCUGAUUAGCUAGUUGGUGAGGUAAAGGCUCACCAAGGCGACGAUCAGUAGCUGGUCUGAGAGGACGAUCAGCCACACUGGGACUGAGACACGGCCCAGACUCCUACGGGAGGCAGCAGUGGGGAAUUUUGGACAAUGGGCGAAAGCCUGAUCCAGCAAUGCCGCGUGUGUGAAGAAGGCCUUCGGGUUGUAAAGCACUCUUGUCCGGAAAGAAAUGGCUCUGGUUAAUACCUGGGGUCGAUGACGGUACCGGAAGAAUAAGGACCGGCUAACUACGUGCCAGCAGCCGCGGUAAUACGUAGGGUCCAAGCGUUAAUCGGAAUUACUGGGCGUAAAGCGUGCGCAGGCGGUUGUGCAAGACCGAUGUGAAAUCCCCGAGCUUAACUUGGGAAUUGCAUUGGUGACUGCACGGCUAGAGUGUGUCAGAGGGGGGUAGAAUUCCACGUGUA
RNAcentral lists this ribosomal RNA (579 nucleotides) under uncultured bacterium. RNAcentral's name for it is "bacterial SSU rRNA". It matches the Rfam family "Bacterial small subunit ribosomal RNA", at positions 102 to 677 of the family's 1533-position model. The record is from RNAcentral.